Molecule: ribosomal RNA, 651 nt
Filed under: uncultured archaeon
Lineage: Archaea
Description: bacterial SSU rRNA
Rfam family: Archaeal small subunit ribosomal RNA
Source: RNAcentral
GAUGGGUCUGCGGCCGAUUAGGUAGUUGGUUAGGUAAUGGCUUACCAAGCCGUUGAUCGGUACGGGUUGUGAGAGCAAGAGCCCGGAGAUGGAACCUGAGACAAGGUUCCAGGCCCUACGGGGUGCAGCAGGCGCGAAACCUCCGCAAUGUGAGAAAUCGCGACGGGGGGAUCCCAAGUGCCAUUCUUAACGGGAUGGCUUUUCUUAAGUGUAAAAAGCUUUUGGAAUAAGAGCUGGGCAAGACCGGUGCCAGCCGCCGCGGUAACACCGGCAGCUCUAGUGGUAGCUGUUUUUAUUGGGCCUAAAGCGUUCGUAGCCGGUUUGAUAAGUCACUGGUGAAAUCUUGUAGCUUAACUGUGAGAAUUGCUGGUGAUACUGUUGAACUUGAGGUCGGGAGAGGUUAGCGGUACUCCCAGGGUAGAGGUGAAAUUCUGUAAUCCUGGGAGGACCGCCUGUUGCGAAGGCGUCUAACUGGAACGGUUCUGACGGUGAGGGACGAAAGUUAGGGGCGCGAACCGGAUUAGAUACCCGGGUAGUCCUAACUGUAAACGAUGCGGACUUGGUGUUGGGGUGGCUUUGAGCUGCUCCAGUGCCGAAGGGAAGCUGUUAAGUCCGCCGCCUGGGAAGUACGGUCGCAAGACUGAAACUUAA